This is a non-coding RNA of Hordeum vulgare subsp. vulgare (domesticated barley), 124 nucleotides long. Lineage: Eukaryota; Viridiplantae; Streptophyta; Magnoliopsida; Poales; Poaceae. The record is from Rfam.
UAUGUAUUCCCUCCGUCCGAAUAUAUUUGUCCUAGAAAUGAAUGUAUCUAGAUUUAUUUUAGUUAUAGAUACGUCUAUUAUAUUCAUUUCUAGAACAAGUAUUUCCGAACGAAGGGAGUACUUU